This 440-nucleotide ribosomal RNA is filed under the name uncultured bacterium. RNAcentral describes it as "bacterial SSU rRNA". It matches the Rfam family "Bacterial small subunit ribosomal RNA", at positions 338 to 795 of the family's 1533-position model. The record is from RNAcentral.
CCUACGGGGGGCAGCAGUGGGGAAUAUUGCACAAUGGGGGAAACCCUGAUGCAGCAACGCCGCGUGAGCGAUGAAGGCCUUCGGGUCGUAAAGCUCUGUCCUAAGGGAAGAAUACUGACGGUACCUUAGGAGGAAGCCCCGGCUAACUACGUGCCAGCAGCCGCGGUAAUACGUAGGGGGCUAGCGUUAUCCGGAAUUACUGGGCGUAAAGGGUGCGUAGGCGGCCCUUCAAGUCAGAGGUGAAAGGCUACGGCUCAACCGUAGUAAGCCUUUAAAAUGGUAGGGCUUGAGUGCAGGAGAGGAGAGUGGAAUUCCGAGUGUAGAGGUGAAAUGCGUAGAUAUUGGGAGGAACACCAGUGGAGAGGGCGGAUAGCUGGACUGUAACUGACGCUGAGGGACGAAAGCGGGGGGAGCGAACAGGAUUAGAUACCCUAGUAGUC